This 345-nucleotide unclassified non-coding RNA is filed under the name soil metagenome. Its description in RNAcentral is "partial contains 5.8S ribosomal RNA, internal transcribed spacer 2, and large subunit ribosomal RNA". The stretch from base 1 to 120 matches the Rfam family "5.8S ribosomal RNA", at positions 35 to 154 of the family's 154-position model. The record is from RNAcentral.
GAUGAAGAACGUAGCGAAAUGCGAUACGUAAUGUGAAUUGCAGAAUUCACUGAAUCAUCGAGUCUUUGAACGCACAUUGCGCCCCCUGGUAUUCCGGGGGGCAUGCCUGUCCGAGCGUCAUUGCUGCCCUCAAGCACGGCUUGUGUGUUGGGCCUCCGUCCUCCUCCCGGGGGACGGGCCCGAAAGGCAGCGGCGGCACCGCGUCCGGUCCUCGAGCGUAUGGGGCUUCGUCACCCGCUCUUGUAGGCCCGGCCGGCGCUUGCCGACACAUCAAUCUUUUUUCCAGGUUGACCUCGGAUCAGGUAGGGAUACCCGCUGAACUUAAGCAUAUCAAUAAGCGGAGGA